CUAACCUACGGGAGGCAGCAGUGAGGAAUAUUGGUCAAUGGUCGGGAGACUGAACCAGCCAAGCCGCGUGAGGGAGGAAGGUACAGAGUAUCGUAAACCUCUUUUGUCAGGGAACAAAGGCGGGGACGUGUCCCCGGAUGAGUGUACCUGAAGAAAAAGCAUCGGCUAACUCCGUGCCAGCAGCCGCGGUAAUACGGAGGAUGCGAGCGUUAUCCGGAUUUAUUGGGUUUAAAGGGGGCGUAGGCGGGCUUUUAAGUCGGCGGUAAAAAUUCGGGGCUCAA
RNAcentral lists this ribosomal RNA (281 nucleotides) under uncultured bacterium. RNAcentral's name for it is "partial 16S ribosomal RNA". It matches the Rfam family "Bacterial small subunit ribosomal RNA", at positions 332 to 612 of the family's 1533-position model. The record is from RNAcentral.